GCCCUCGUAGCUCAGGGGAUAGAGCACUGGUUUCCGGUACCAGGGGUCGGACGUUCGAAUCGUCUCGGGGGCA
Molecule: transfer RNA, 73 nt
Filed under: Corynebacterium sp. 320
Lineage: Bacteria; Bacillati; Actinomycetota; Actinomycetes; Mycobacteriales; Corynebacteriaceae
Also listed under: 6 other names
Description: tRNA-Arg
Rfam family: tRNA
About the family: Transfer RNA (tRNA) molecules are approximately 80 nucleotides in length. Their secondary structure includes four short double-helical elements and three loops (D, anti-codon, and T loops). Further hydrogen bonds mediate the characteristic L-shaped molecular structure. tRNAs have two regions of fundamental functional importance: the anti-codon, which is responsible for specific mRNA codon recognition, and the 3' end, to which the tRNAs corresponding amino acid is attached (by aminoacyl-tRNA synthetases). tRNAs cope with the degeneracy of the genetic code in two manners: having more than one tRNA (with a specific anti-codon) for a particular amino acid; and 'wobble' base-pairing, i.e. permitting non-standard base-pairing at the 3rd anti-codon position.
Source: RNAcentral